UAAAAGUGCUUUGAGUGGUCGGAAGACUAGAAAGGCGCUAUAUAAGUACAGGUCCAUUUACCACUUACUUUUCUGGAUAACAAAAGUAAGAUUCUAACUAAUUAUUUUUUGCAGGUGACUGUAAUAUUAUUAAAAUGUAUGAGUAAUAACUUACAUUACUAGUUACUGGGGAAAGUAAUAUAAUUGCUGUAAGAUUAUUAUUAGUAGUGAGUUACUGCCCAACACUGUACAGGACUAAGGCAGUAAAUCAGGCAAUUAAAAAAUCCAGAAGGUUUAACCCCAGACAAUAAAGAUGAAUUCUAAUAAUAAAACAGGUCAAAUAUGUUGACAAUAUAAUACUGUGCUAGAAUGAAUAAAAUGCUUUUAGUGUUUUAUAAUAUGUCACUGAUAGGUGGCAGAGUGCUUUCACAUUCCUGUUUUACCUGUUUUAGGUUUUGCAGCCCUUCUCACACUCAAACACUUACCAGGUGAUGUUGGCUAAGUGUGAAAGGGUUCAGUGCUCAGUGGACACUGGGAUUUAAAAAAAAACAGUGCAACAAAACAGGACAGUGAGGGAGAUGUCAGUCAUGGACAGUUUGCAUACACACACACAAUCCUGAGGUGAGCUCUAAGCAGACAUAAUAAAAUGACAACCCUUUAUGUGUUUAUGUUAAAAAAAAAAAGAAUAGUAGCUCAUAUGUUGAUCCUGGUCAGCCUCAGUACUGGUUAGUCCCCCACACACCAGCAGCAGAUAUCUGGGCUAUUAGACCUGUGCUUGUUCUCCUGUGAGGUGACAGCACAUCUUUGUCUAUCGUCGCUGUUAAAAUAGAGACAUCACACCUUCAGUCUCACCGUUAUGAAAAGAAUAUUUAUUAAGACAUUUCCGGUGAAGAUUAGUUCUUCAGAAUCUUCCAAAUCUCAAAUAACAUUAUUAUCAUUAUUAUUAUUAUUAUAUUUUCUUGGUUUGCUUCGACUUGUCUACUUCUACAUUUUUCUACAUAUUUCCCAGAAAGCCUUUCCACAACCCUUCCCCAAACUGGGUUCAAACCUAUGCCCUUUUUCAGGGUGAAAGCACCUUUAGCUGUGUGUUUUGAUAUUUCAGAGUGGAUGUUUUCAGAAUAUCUGCACUGCCUGCAGAAAAGUGUUUGAUGGGAUUUCUUCACUGUGUCACACUGUGUUAUAUAAAAUAAUAUAAAGAAUAUAUAUAAAAGAAUAUCUUCUGAAUUAAGAGUAAAUAAGUUUAUUUUACAGCUUCGAUUGCCAUACACUAUCAGUCCUCUAAGAUGCAGUAGAAGAGCUGGUUGUGGUAUAUCGGUGUAUGAGAUACAUUAUGUGUGGGUUUAUUUAACACUGUUGAAUAGAUUUCUAUGAAAAAAUAGAGCUUGUGAAUAUUGAUAUGCAGAAUUUACCCAAAGACACUCCUAUACAGACUUAACUGUUUAAAGAAUACAUUGUUUCAGAGUUUUAUGUAGAUGAAUAUAGAAAUGCUAUACAGAUAUAUGAGACAUAUGUAGCUUCUUUUAACAUAGCUGUUGGUCAUUGUGCUUCUGCAGAACUGUCCAUUUGUACUAUUUGACGUGACUAUUGCCAAAAAGAAAGAACUUUUUAGGUCAAGCUUCUUUACCCUGCUGAGUUAUUUCAUCAUCAGAGACCCCUUCAGACAGACUAAGGCUAAACACAUCCAGAACUGGUGCAGACCUCCGCCAAGGCCAAUAGUCCUGUCUUUUAUGAUAUGCAGAUCUGCAAACCAUUCACUUUGCACAGGUCGGAAAAUCUGGAAUUAACCUGGAAAAAUCACAUCCAUGAUUAUUUCUUCCAUACCUGCUGCAUUUGUUUCUACGUUGAUGUUGUAGGUGUGUUGUUGCAUUCGUGAUGAAUUUAGCUCAUUUAGCCAUAUACCCUUCCACCGAGGUUCAUAAAAAAGCGGGUAGGGCUGCACGAUAUGGUGCUGUUAUUUUGACAGAUAUUGUGAUGUGAUUAACGAUUAGUGGGAAUGAUCAUUUUUUCAGCGCGUAUUUAUUUAUUUUAUUUUUUUCAUCAUUUAUUGCCUUUUAAUUGAUAGUGACAGCUGAAGACAGACAGGAAAGGGAGGUAGAGAGAGGAUCACACGCAGCAAAGGGUCAGACUCGAACCCUUGGCCGCUGCAGCAAGCACUCCGUACAUGGUUGCCAGCUCUACCCACUGAGCUAACUGGGUGUUCAGUUUUCACUGACUUUUAAAAUCAGGAUAAUGUGAAAUUUGUUUGGGUCAGUACCAAAAUCAAAACAUGUUCUCUUAAAUCUGGAGAACAAGAUCAGUGGAUCUCUGCAGCACUACAGUACUUCAAUAUAAUGCUGUUUGACACACAAUGUACAAACAAAUUGCAGCUUCUACCAAUUGCAUAUUGCACUUGGCCACAUUGCAAUUUUGAUUAAUUGUGCAGCCCUAAUAUCGGGUCAGUAGUUGUUGCAUAAUCCUGCUGACAGAAACAUGCAAACGGCACCAAAAACAUAAUCUCCUUGGUGGAGGUCAUAAAGGAACACUCCAUUAUUCUGGGAAAUCUGCUUCUCAGAGUCAGAUAAGAGGAUGGGUAUCAGUGCAGAGGUACGUUCAGGACUUCUCAGCAAAGCCACUGUAAAUGUCCACUUCUCAAGUUCAAGCACUUGGUUCUGGUUAAAGAAACAUUUAUUUAAACAAAUCUACUGUAACAUUAAACCUUAAAAAAAUAUUGAAUUGAAUUAUUUCCCUGACAUUGAACAGUGUUUUAGUAGCUUAAGCUACUGUGGCUACUUAAGUGUACAUGUGGCACCCAAGACAUGACCUGUCGCCUCUGGUCCUACACUGUACAUGCACCAUCCACCCCCAACCCCCUAAGGCAGCACUACUUCUUAAAGUUCCCCUCCAGUCAGAAAUCUGUUUCUUAUUCAACACUAGAAGGAUGUUUUCACAUUCAUCCGCUCAAAGUGGAAAGUUUCUCUGAGCUCAUUGAAAAGCUGAUUUUUAAGGGGCGGGGCCUCACAAAUAGUUUUGAAGUCAUACCUGGUCCAGUAUGCAACUCGUACAGUGUGAUGUAGAAACUUGAAGCCACCAGUGCAUAUCCACUGAGAAUGGACUUUACAGUGAAGUAGGAGACAUCUUGUGUCCAGCAGGGAAACUUUAGAAACGAACAACAUUUGUAUAUUCAGAGAUUCUGGAAGUUUUAAUGAGGUAGAAGGAGUAGAUGCCUUUCUAAGGAUGUGGAAAUUCUACUUUUCUUUGCAGGAAAAAACAUAUCAGACACACAUUAUUUAUAUAUCCUGGAUCUGUCUGUAACCUGGAGAUAAACACUGUGAUGAACUGAUUGAUUCAUCUUCCUAUCUGACUCUGAACUGCAAAAUGUCAGCCUGUUUUUUCUCGAUUUUUCUGUGUGAGGCAGCAACAUGAGGUGUUUGGUUUGAAAUUGUGAUUUAACUGUUUGGACCUUUUACUGUGUUCUGUGAUUAAAAACCUUUUGAAAUUUCCUUAUUCAAACCUAAAGGCACAGUUAAAUAUAAGCCUUCACUUGUAUGCAAAUAGUUUAUUUCGUUUGUUAUUGUUUUGUUAUCUGACCACAAUCUGAACCUGUGCAUGCCUUUAACAGUUUCUCUGUCAAUAUGAAACAUGUUGAGUUUACAGCACUGUAAAUAACUGUGUUUUCUGUUUUUGUAAGCUGUUAGCUCUCAUAGACUUCAGCUUCCUAUGAGGUUGGAGAACUAAUAAAGGGCUUCCUUAGUGUUUAAA
Dicentrarchus labrax (European seabass) is the source of this 3717-nucleotide long non-coding RNA. RefSeq lists it as uncharacterized. NCBI's taxonomy places the organism in Eukaryota, Metazoa, Chordata, Actinopteri, Moronidae. The transcript is spliced from 2 exons. The record is from RefSeq and is a predicted model, not a curated record.